UACGGGGGGGGCAAGCGUUGUUCGGAAUUACUGGGCGUAAAGGGCUCGUAGGUGGCCAACUAAGUCAGACGUGAAAUCCCUCGGCUUAACCGGGGAACUGCGUCUGAUACUGUAUGGCUUGAGUUCGGGAGAGGGAUGCGGAAUUCCAGGUGUAGCGGUGAAAUGCGUAGAUAUCUGGAGGAACACCGGUGGCGAAGGCGGCAUCCUGGACCGGCACUGACACUGAGGAGCGAAAGCCAGGGGAGCAAACGGG
RNAcentral lists this ribosomal RNA (253 nucleotides) under uncultured bacterium. RNAcentral describes it as "partial 16S ribosomal RNA". It matches the Rfam family "Bacterial small subunit ribosomal RNA", at positions 524 to 776 of the family's 1533-position model. The record is from RNAcentral.